CUUCAGGACGAUAAGACGAAAAGGUCAAAAGACUUCAAAGCGUUCCUCCUUAUAUUCCAUCCAUCCUCCCCUUCCUCCAUGCUGGCUGUUCAGGGGAAAUUUAUCUUUGGUUGUGGCUGCACCUGAUUGGCGGAGCCGUGUUGCAGUGACGUCAUGCCUGGGAGGUGCAGGGAGUGAGGGAAGGGGGGGAAGCCUUGAGAAGCUUCAAAACUUGCCUUUAUUCACGUAAGAACCGCAUUUGCUGCUCCGCUGAAGCCCUGCACCUGCGUUCAUUAUUAUGAGGCAUGUAAUGAACCUGAAAUUGAAUGAAGGUGCAUUUGUUUUGUUGUGAGAUAUCGAGGAUAGAGAGAGGGUGAAAAGAACAAACUUAUGCAAACUCACACUCACAACGCAUAUUUAUCCCAUUAUCUGCAAUCUCACUUCAUUGCUAAACCGAAUACCAAGGUGUAACUGACACUAAUCCUAUGUGUGCGUGCUUUUACUUGGCCCAGAGGUGCACGACGUCCUCUUCAGGACCAAAACUGUCACAAUAUCAAUAUACCACCAAUACAUCACUGAUAAAUCACCAAUCCUACCCCUAAAUUACAUAAGCUGUUCCUCCAGAGGUUUUCAAUCGACUCAGUAUCAAGAUGUGACGUGACAGUCGUGAUCUUAUUGAGAAACCAGAAAUUCCAGUAAUGAGGUUUGUUGUUGGCGGAAGUACAUUCCGAGCAGUCAGUUUCAGAUACUGGAGGCCGUCGCUGUACAGAGGCUGUUGGCCUCUCUUGGCAUCACGUAUGGCGAAUUUAUUGAGCAGCCCGAUUCCCUUGAUGUUUUUCACCUUGACAGUGGACACUGCAUCAGCUGCUGCUCAAGAUUCUGAAAUCCCAGACUGGGCAAAGGCUCUACUUGGUCUCUUGAGCGUGACCAUCUUGCUUGUGCUCCUACUUCUUGGUGUCUUUGUGGCUUUGUACUACAUGUUGAAGAAAAUGAAGAAGCAACAACUGCUGAGAUUGCCAUCAAAAUCCAGAGACGAACAGUCGAAUAAGCAGCCUCAGGGUGAUCACCAAGAAAGUGAUCUAUAUGCUGAUGUGACAGCAACUGGCUUGGAGAAUGAAGGGAAAAUGCAACUUCACAGCAAGGGUCUUCAGAGCAAUAAGCAGCCAGAAAAUGAUCCUCAAAACAAAGAUUCAUAUAUUUAUGUGGAUGAAUUUUCCAAUGGGAAUAAAGAGAAAAUUCAACUUCCGAAGCUAAAUGAGCCAAAAUCACCACCAAUCAGCAAAAGUCUUCAGAGAAAUACGCAGCCAGAAGACGUGUACGAAGUGCUGCCUGACGUCAAUAACUUGUACAACGAUGAAGAUGAACUCCACGCUCAGAACUGAAUAUUAUCAAAGUGACGAUGAAGUAUCUUGUGAAUCACCUGGAUGCUUCGAGAAGAGUUCUUCGCAUUUUUGAUCGAUAAUUACCUCCGCCACCGAAGUUGGACGGAGGUUAUGUUUUCACCCCUGUUAAUCUGUUUGUUCAUGAACAGGAUAUCACGUAAAGUUGUGGAUUUGAUUCCAUUUUGGUGAAGAUCCUGAUCUGGAAAACAGAAUUUUUAAAGUGAUUCUUCACCAUUAAGAAAAUAAUGCCUAAAACGAUAUAUAGCACGAUAUCUCAAAAAGUUAUGGGGCGGAUAUGGGACCAAACUUGGUGGACAGGUUGGGUGUGUGAUAAGGAAGGAUUGAUUCGAUUUUGUUUGAGGUCCGGAUGCGAAUCUGGCCAAUCCGUGGGAUACAAAACGUAAACUACUCAACCUGGCAGAGGUAUGCGCUCUACCGAAUGUCGUUCCAGUUCACAAUGAUACAUGAUGCGUCAAUUGUAGAGCCUCGAAUCGUCUUUUCACAAACUAGUUAAAUUGUUUUUGUCACUUCGUCUGUAAACCUGUAAUUCAAGCAAGGAGCGUUUCUGUAUGCUUGGGAUUAAGCAGAAUUUUUUGAAGAGUUUUCAAAUAAAAUGACUUUCAGAAAAAUGUGCCCCCCCCCCCC
Long non-coding RNA from Eptatretus burgeri (inshore hagfish), 2006 nucleotides. NCBI's taxonomy places the organism in Eukaryota, Metazoa, Chordata, Myxini, Myxiniformes, Myxinidae. The record is from Ensembl.